UCUCCGUAGGUGAACCUGCGGAAGGAUCAUUAUUGUAUAACCGAGGUGCGAGGGCUGUCGCUGACCCGAAAGGUCGUGCACGCCCGAGUGCCCUCACACAUCCAUCUCACCCCUAUGUGCACCACCGCGUGGGUCCCCCUUUGGCUUGUUCGGAGGGGGGCUUACGUUUUCACACAAACUUUGUAUGCAGUGUAGAAUGUAUUUUUUGUUUUUGCGAUCACGCAAUCAAUACAACUUUCAACAACGGAUCUCUUGGCUCUC
RNAcentral lists this unclassified non-coding RNA (261 nucleotides) under plant metagenome. RNAcentral describes it as "partial contains small subunit ribosomal RNA, internal transcribed spacer 1, and 5.8S ribosomal RNA". The record is from RNAcentral.